RNAcentral lists this ribosomal RNA (459 nucleotides) under uncultured bacterium. Its description in RNAcentral is "partial 16S ribosomal RNA". It matches the Rfam family "Bacterial small subunit ribosomal RNA", at positions 338 to 795 of the family's 1533-position model. The record is from RNAcentral.
CCUACGGGAGGCAGCCGGGAGGGAUUUUGGUCAAUGGGCGCGAGCCUGGACCCGCCAAGUCGGGUGAGGGGAGACGGUCCUAUGGAAUGUAAACCUCUUUUGUCGGGGAGCAAAAGACGCAGCGCGUGGCGCUCCGAGAGUACCCGAAGAAAAAGCAUCGGCUAACUCCGUGCCAGCAGCCGCGGUAAUACGGAGGAUGCGAGCGUUAUCCGGAUUUAUUGGGUUAAAAGGGUGCGCAGGCGGAAGAUCAAGUCAGCGGUAAAAUUGAGAGGCUCAACCUCGUCGAGCCGUUGAAACUGGUUUUCUUGAGUGAGUGAGAAGUAUGCGGAAUGCGUGGUGUAGCGGUGAAAUGCAUAGAUAUCACGCAGAACUCCGAUUGCGAAGGCAGCAUACCGGCGCUCAACUGACGCUCAUGCACGAAAGUGUGGGUAUCGAACAGGAUUAGAUACCCGUGUAGUC